This 443-nucleotide ribosomal RNA is filed under the name uncultured bacterium. Its description in RNAcentral is "partial 16S ribosomal RNA". It matches the Rfam family "Bacterial small subunit ribosomal RNA", at positions 338 to 795 of the family's 1533-position model. The record is from RNAcentral.
CCUACGGGAGGCAGCAGUGGGGAAUAUUGGGCAAUGGAGGAAAGUCUGACCCAGCAAUGCCGCGUGAAUGAAGAAGGUCUUCGGAUUGUAAAGUUCUUUCAUCAGGGAAGAAGUCAAUGACGGUACCUGAAGAAUAAGCUCCGGCUAACUACGUGCCAGCAGCCGCGGUAAUACGUAGGUGGCAAGCGUUGUCCGGAUUUACUGGGUGUAAAGGGCGUGUAGCCGGGCUGACAAGUCAGAUGUGAAAUCCGGGGGCUCAACCUCCGAACUGCAUUUGAAACUGUUGGUCUUGAGUAUCGGAGAGGCAGGCGGAAUUACUAGUGUAGCGGUGAAAUGCGUAGAUAUUAGGAGGAACAUCAGUGGCGAAGGCGGCCUGCUGGACGAUAACUGACGGUGAGGCGCGAAAGCGUGGGGAGCAAACAGGAUUAGAUACCCUUGUAGUC